RNAcentral lists this transfer RNA (86 nucleotides) under Planctomycetota bacterium. RNAcentral's name for it is "Planctomycetes bacterium tRNA-Leu". It matches the Rfam family "tRNA". From Rfam's summary of the family: Transfer RNA (tRNA) molecules are approximately 80 nucleotides in length. Their secondary structure includes four short double-helical elements and three loops (D, anti-codon, and T loops). Further hydrogen bonds mediate the characteristic L-shaped molecular structure. tRNAs have two regions of fundamental functional importance: the anti-codon, which is responsible for specific mRNA codon recognition, and the 3' end, to which the tRNAs corresponding amino acid is attached (by aminoacyl-tRNA synthetases). tRNAs cope with the degeneracy of the genetic code in two manners: having more than one tRNA (with a specific anti-codon) for a particular amino acid; and 'wobble' base-pairing, i.e. permitting non-standard base-pairing at the 3rd anti-codon position. Lineage: Bacteria; Pseudomonadati; Planctomycetota. The record is from RNAcentral.
GCCCGGGUGGCGGAAUUGGCAGACGCGCUAGGUUGAGGGCCUAGUUGGGCUAGCGCCCAGUGCUGGUUCGACUCCAGUCCCGGGCA